This 75-nucleotide antisense RNA is filed under the name Streptomyces sp. CNZ306. Its description in RNAcentral is "ASpks TB sRNA". It matches the Rfam family "ASpks TB sRNA". Lineage: Bacteria; Bacillati; Actinomycetota; Actinomycetes; Kitasatosporales; Streptomycetaceae. The record is from RNAcentral.
CUUGAUGGAGCCCAGCCACAGGGGCUGCUCGUCGGUGUGCGCCUGACCGUACGUGGCCAGCAGCGCCUGCGCCUC